AUUGAACGCUGGCGGCAGGCCUAACACAUGCAAGUCGAACGGUAACAGGAAGCAGCUUGCUGCUUCGCUGACGAGUGGCGGACGGGUGAGUAAUGUCUGGGAAACUGCCUGAUGGAGGGGGAUAACUACUGGAAACGGUAGCUAAUACCGCAUAACGUCGCAAGACCAAAGAGGGGGACCUUAGGGCCUCUUGCCAUCGGAUGUGCCCAGAUGGGAUUAGCUAGUAGGUGGGGUAACGGCUCACCUAGGCGACGAUCCCUAGCUGGUCUGAGAGGAUGACCAGCCACACUGGAACUGAGACACGGUCCAGACUCCUACGGGAGGCAGCAGUGGGGAAUAUUGCACAAUGGGCGCAAGCCUGGUGCAGCCAUGCCGCGUGUAUGAAGAAGGCCUUCGGGUUGUAAAGUACUUUCAGCGGGGAGGAAGGGAGUAAAGUUAAUACCUUUGCUCAUUGACGUUACCCGCAGAAGAAGCACCGGCUAACUCCGUG
This 490-nucleotide ribosomal RNA is filed under the name uncultured bacterium. RNAcentral describes it as "partial 16S ribosomal RNA". It matches the Rfam family "Bacterial small subunit ribosomal RNA", at positions 30 to 507 of the family's 1533-position model. The record is from RNAcentral.